RNAcentral lists this ribosomal RNA (468 nucleotides) under uncultured bacterium. Its description in RNAcentral is "partial 16S ribosomal RNA". It matches the Rfam family "Bacterial small subunit ribosomal RNA", at positions 28 to 507 of the family's 1533-position model. The record is from RNAcentral.
GACGAACGCUGGCGGCGUGCUUAACACAUGCAAGUCGAACGGAAAGGCCCUGCUUUUGUGGGGUGCUCGAGUGGCGAACGGGUGAGUAACACGUGAGUAACCUGCCCUUGACUUUGGGAUAACUUCAGGAAACUGGGGCUAAUACCGGAUAGGAGCUCCUGCUGCAUGUGGGGGGUUGGAAAGUUUCGGCGGUUGUGGAUGGACUCGCGGCUUAUCAGCUUGUUGGUGAGGUAGUGGCUUACCAAGGCUUUGACGGGUAGCCGGCCUGAGAGGGUGACCGGCCACAAUGGGACUGAGAUACGGCCCAGACUCCUACGGGAGGCAGCAGUGGGGAAUAUUGCACAAUGGGCGGAAGCCUGAUGCAGCAACGCCGCGUGCGGGAUGACGGCCUUCGGGUUGUAAACCGCUUUCGCCUGUGACGAAGCGUGAGUGACGGUAAUGGGUAAAGAAGCACCGGCUAACUACGUG